GCCGGGGUUUCUUUACCAGAUGCUGUCAUUAUCAUCUCUGGCGAAAGAGCUUUACAACCCUAAGGCCUUCGUCACUCACGCGGCAUGGCUAGAUCAGGCUUGCGCCCAUUGUCUAAGAUUCCCC
Molecule: ribosomal RNA, 124 nt
Filed under: uncultured bacterium
Lineage: Bacteria
Description: partial 16S ribosomal RNA
Source: RNAcentral